UGAGGAAUAUUGGACAAUGGGCGCAAGCCUGAUCCAGCCAUGCCGCGUGCAGGAUGACGGUCCUAUGGAUUGUAAACUGCUUUUAUACGAGAAGAAACACUCCGACGUGUCGGAGCUUGACGGUAUCGUAAGAAUAAGGAUCGGCUAACUCCGUGCCAGCAGCCGCGGUAAUACGGAGGAUCCAAGCGUUAUCCGGAAUCAUUGGGUUUAAAGGGUCCGUAGGCGGUUUAAUAAGUCAGUGGUGAAAGCCCAUCGCUCAACGGUGGAACGGCCAUUGAUACUGUUAGACUUGAAUUAUUAGGAAGUAACUAGAAUAUGUAGUGUAGCGGUGAAAUGCUUAGAGAUUACAUGGAAUACCAAUUGCGAAGGCAGGUUACUACUAAUUGAUUGACGCUGAUGGACGAAAGCGUGGGUAGCGAACA
This 422-nucleotide ribosomal RNA is filed under the name uncultured Flavobacterium sp. RNAcentral's name for it is "bacterial SSU rRNA". It matches the Rfam family "Bacterial small subunit ribosomal RNA", at positions 355 to 774 of the family's 1533-position model. The record is from RNAcentral. Lineage: Bacteria; Pseudomonadati; Bacteroidota; Flavobacteriia; Flavobacteriales; Flavobacteriaceae.